This 244-nucleotide long non-coding RNA is filed under the name Rattus norvegicus (Norway rat). Its description in RNAcentral is "long non-coding RNA NONRATT026572". The record is from RNAcentral. Lineage: Eukaryota; Metazoa; Chordata; Mammalia; Rodentia; Muridae.
UGCAACAUGCCAAGCUGCAUGUGCGUGAGUCACUGCCCAGCCGGCAGGCCAAGGAACCUUUCAGGGGUGGCAGCCCCGUCUUAGAUGUUAGCACCCUCGUCUAUCCCUCCUAUGGAGACUCCUCAGGCCUCAAUACCUGCGUUCACUGUGGCUUCACAGCACCUAGCAAGAGUCUGCUCAGGGAGCACAUGAGGCUAGUACAUGCCCAGGCCCACUGGGAGGAGGAUGGAGAGGCCUUUGAGGA